Coturnix japonica (Japanese quail) is the source of this 6561-nucleotide long non-coding RNA. RefSeq lists it as uncharacterized. NCBI's taxonomy places the organism in Eukaryota, Metazoa, Chordata, Aves, Galliformes, Phasianidae. The record is from RefSeq and is a predicted model, not a curated record.
ACCUGCUGGGCAGGAAGGGUUCAACAUUAGUGUGUCCCGAGCUUUUCCUGAAGCAUUUAGAGACCCCGGGAGCUCAUCCAGUGCAAUUCACACCUAGGAUCUAUGAGCAUCAAUGCUUCUCUUGUGGUGCAAUGAUCCCAAGUCCACAUUGGGCCUUCCCUCAAGCAAGAGAGCAGGCUGUAUCCAAACUGCAGGACCUGAGCUUUCUUUAUAACCUGUUUUUACUGUAUUAUGUUCAUGUACGAUUGUAGAAUCCUGAAGGUUGGAGAAGACCUCCAAGAUCAUUCAUCCUACUACACCCACCAACCACAUCCCUCAGUGCCACAUCCCCAUGGCUUUGGAACACCUCCAGUGAUGGUGACCCCUCCAGUCCCUGCAGUCUGUGCCAAUACUGCACCACUCUUUCAGAGAACAAAGUUUUCUCUAAUGUCCACCUUGAACCUCCUCUGGUUGAACUUGAGACCUUCACUUCUCUUUCUAUGUACAGAAAAUGACUUAAGGAAGGGUGGGGGAGGUGGGAUCAACCGGUAUUUCUGCCCCCAGAGCAGCAGAUCAAACCUCUGCUCUGGUCAGUAAAACUAGAAGUGGGAUGUUUCUGCUGCUCAAGGGCCACAUAGCACAGUGCCAGCCCAGCCCUGGGGUAACGUAUGACAAGGGUUGUCCUCCAUGGGGACCCCCAUAGAACCCAGCACUCAGCUCUUCAGGCACUAGAUGGAGCACGUGAGCUUCCCAUAAGAUGGACCCUCUGAGAAUCAGACAAUCCUUAAGGUUGGAAAAGACUGCAAAGAUCAUCUAGUCCAACCCACCACCAUGUGAGCACAUCCCCCACUGCCACAUCCCCAUGGUUCUGGGGCACCUCUGUGGAUGGUGACCCCCCUUUUUCCCCCCCAGGCAGCCUGUGCCAGUGCCUGACCAGCAGAUCCGAGGCUGGUUGUGCAGCUCUUGGUUUCAUCUAUUCAGUUCUGCCAUUGAGCCAGAGUACAGAGGGAGCAGCUGAACCCCUCUUUCCUCCUCCUUAGCAUGUAUGUGCAGUAGAUAGAUGCAUCUCAACAUAAGCACGCACAUCCCCAUUGAGUUCCAAGCUAAAACACAUUCUCAGCCAACCUGACCAAUCUUAAAUGCUGGGCCUGAAAGCUCAGUGGAACACCAGCUCCAAACUAACAUGCAUCCUCCAGUAGGUUCUUUGGCCUCCCUGUCUCUUGAAUGGGCAGCAAUGAGAAACCAUCUGCCUACACCCCAUCUCUAUCUAGACCUUUCCUCCUCCUCUUUCACAGCACUCACAGCCAGGCUCGCUGAUGGCCCAUUCCAACCCUUUAAACCCCAAUUUCACACCCAAAACCAGCUUUCCCAGCACUGUGCAUCACACACAGGGCUGCAUCCAUUGGUCCUGUCCUCACACCCUGCUUGGGGCCAUCCCAGCGCACACAGGGAUGAGGGUACGGCUGUUUCAGGGUUAAAAGCAAAGCCAGCAGGAAGCGAAGGGCCCGCUGGGAUUACAUAUGGAAGGAAGCAUGCACACAACACAGCCCGAAGCAAAGAGAGUGCGCAGUUGCACCGGGGAACCCAUUGCCAGCAUGGGAGUUACACAGCAAUUUAUAUCCUAAAGCUCUUUUGGGAGCAAACCUUAUGUUGAAAGGAAGUGCUGCCCCAAAGCCACAGUGUGAGCAAAGGGCUCAGAACUGCUCUUAACACACUCAAAGGUGCACAUAACACUGGAUGGGCGUUUAGAAUGGGAAGGUAUUUCUUUGCUUUAUUUCUUCCCCCCCACAUUUUUUCCUUUCUAAAGAUACCUUGAAACUGUUUCAUAGUGAGGUCAACGUUUGCCUUGUUCAUUCUGAAAGAAAACAGAUACAGGGAGUAGUCCUCUUGCAAGCAACCCGCUGCCCACAACGCUCACAUCCUCAGCCUAAAUAUGCUUCAUUUCUGCACAAAAUGGCCCAAAAAAAAAAUCUCAGCCCGGGGCACUGGGCUGUGAUGAGCAUUGCAGACUAUAGCAAAGAGAUGGAGAAAUUCCUCCUGUUCUUCAUUUAGGUGUGAGAUGUUGGGUGAAUCGAUAACACGGGGUGGCAAUAGGUCCAGAUACCAGCGAUGGAAUGUGCAAUAGAUUGUAUCCUCUCUUGCAGCCCUCCAGCCCAGCCCUAAGAGGGGACGCCCCGUGCCAGCGUGGCAUCCCAUAUCGCUCAACGGGGGCUCUCAGGGACCGGCCAGGACCAGGACUAUGGAGCAAAUGCUGCUAAUUCCAUGCCGUUAGAAGGAGCGACGUUUGUGUGCAGAAAUACCUGAACAAACUGCAUCUCCAGCUGGCGGCUUCCCUGGGCGCUGUGCAUCCGGGCAGGUGAAGUGGUGCUGAUCUGUACCAGCUCAGGAACCAGGAGAGCUCCUUCAAGCUCCCAGCAGCAGCUGCUUUCCUCUGCCAGGUUUUGGAUUGCUCCACCUUCAAUCCCUUCUGUCAAAUCACUUCCCGGCUGUUUGUGCUCCUCAUUCCUCCGUUCUAUGAGAAAACCAACCAAAAAGAAGCAAGCAAGCAAUUCAGUUUGCAGCUGCAUCAGCCCCACAAACACCAGGGCCACCUCUUGGCUGCAGGAGCCAGGUCACAAUGAGGUCUCACUGGAGCCUUCUCUUCUCCAAGGCACACUAUACUUCAGCUGGCAUACUGUAUCUCUGCCUGUUGAAAACACACCGACAAAGAGCUGCUGUAUGGAUCUGAAGGGAAAGCCUGGCUGAAAAGCAAAGGUGGGCUGGAUUACUGGGAAAUGCAGGGAAGCCAAAUGAUGCAACCCUGACGCAUUCUUGCAGAGCAACGUUGGGGCGAGUGUCAUCCGUGAGCGUUUUGCUCUGGAUGUGAAGUAGCUGCACCUCCAACUACACCUCCACCUUAAUGACUUUUCCAGGCUCAGAUCUGCAUCCCAGCAGAGCUGCAGGGUUGGUGCUGCUCACGGUGCAGAGCUGCGUUCGCGCCUCUGGGAGAACUGUGUUAAAUUUAGAAGCAAAAGCCACGGCAAGAUUUCCAUUUUCCUUCUUUUAUUACUUGCAGGGAGGAAUGCUGCUGAUCGUCCAGCGAACCUUUCCCUGCUUCCCAUCUCAGAAUUAACCCCAGCUGCCUGCAGCCUUUGCUGAAAGCAUAGAAAUGCAUCCAUAUGCAAACGUUUCUUUGCUUUCUCUUUGCAAAUCACCCUCUGGCCAUUGGAUGUGGCGUGUCUUGCAAAACACGUGGCCAAACCUACUUGUGCUCAGCUGUCCUGGCAGCAGGAGCUUUGGCAAGUAUCUGUUCCUAGAGUUCAUUAGCUGCUAUGGGCGCUGACAGGCAUUUUGGCCACUGCAGGGAAACACACCCUGGCUUUUCUCUCCUUCCCUAUGUCAGUGUAGAGACCAGGGGUUAUAUUCAUUCAUAACACACCGAUGGAGAUGGAGCCCUGUUGCUUACAGAAGCCUUGAGCCUAAGAAGGUUUCCCAUCUUCCCAAAUGGGUCCAGAAGCUCAUGGGGCUCUCAGGCACUCGGAUACUUGUGGCUGCUGGAAGAGCGACAAAUGCAGCCCAUGGAGAUGGUCUCAGCAGCUGUGAGCUGGAACAUCUGACUCAUCACACAGCAAGGUCUGCAGCUGCAGAUUCCGGGUUUUGUAAAGCUAAGUGAGGCUGAUUGCCUUAAGGGUUGGGGAAACUGAGGCAUGGAGUGCAAGGCUGGAACAGAGCAGAAGCUGGGUGUCCUGUGCUGUGAAACCUGUGCUGGUUUGUGCUGCAUCCCUACUCCAAAAGGAUGCUGAGUGCUUUACAGGGGGUCACAGAGGCAUCUCCUCCAUCCAUCCACAGACCUGGCAGGCUGUGUGGUCCCUGACAGCCACAGAGAAGCUUCUACAUCUCAUCUUCUCUCCCACUCCUGCUCAGUCUGCAUCAACCCCAGGCAUGGACAGACUCCUGCUCUGUGUUUUGCAGCACCGCAGUCAGUGCCCAUUCUCCAAUGUGAAUGCCCAGCUUUGCUUCAACCCUCUUCACCUCCACCCCUGAGGCUGCCGGGCAGCAGCACAGCUCAUGCUCCUGGCCAAUGCACAGCAAAUGAAACCUCUCUUCCAUUGCACCCGUGGCACGCAAAAACCUGUUUCAAAGCCUGGAGGAGGCGUCGGCGCUGACGGACUCGGGUUUUGCACACAAGGUCCCUUGUUCAGCAUAGAGCAGAGGUGGCCAGGCAGGCAGGAGAGAGGUACAGUGGGAGGAGGUGAUGAAUGGGGACCGUUGUCUCACCCCAAUCACCUCCAGGGGAACGCUGGGUGUUUGCCAGCCGUGCACAAAUGGAGCCCGUCUUUCUAAACUGUUUGCACUCCUGGAUUUCUGUUGGCUUCCAGGUCAAGUCUCAUAUCCCCCUGUCAUUCCUCUUGGUUUGAAUCCGAUGUGGUUAAAAGAUAUGUAUGGAUUGAAGCCUCUCAGAACCGCCCUCCUCCUCUCCUACGUGGUUCUGGCUCGGCCCCAUCCAGCUGGGGUUUAUUUCAAGCUCAUUCGCUGCCCGAACAUAGAGAAGAAGCAGCAAAGAAUGCAAGGCAGCUCCAGAGCCUCGAAUAGGUCAGGACACGGACCAAGGGCUGCGCUUCAUUUAAAGGGAUACGCUCAAACCCAAAACUGCUGACAUCUCUGCUAUCUGUUGCUGAUGGUCCUACCCAGCAGCACCAUUGACUGCAGUGUCCAAAGUCAUAGAAUCAUAGAAUCAUAGAAUUAACCAGGUUGGAAAAGACCUUGAAGAUCAUCAAGUCCAACCUCAGCCUAACCAGUACCCUGACUCUAAAAACCCUACACUAAAGUAGUGCCUCAUCUCCAGGCCAAGGUUUAUUCUCUCUCAUUUUUAUUCCUGCUUGUUUUAUCAACUUCUCAAGGUUGUGUUUUUUAAGCUGUUUCCCAUUCUCUAGUUGGACACAGUGCCAGAAGUUGGGGAAAACCCAUUUCUCCACUUCCCCUUCAAUACAUGGGUCUCUCCCAAGGGACGGGAACCACUUGGCAUGAAGCUGAGUCACCAUCCCUGGAGAUGUUCAAGAACCAUGAAGAUGUUGAGAUAAAGGACUUGGUUCAGUGAGGAAAUGGUGGUGGGUGGUUGGACUGGAUGGCCUUGGAGGUCCUUUCCUAUGGAAAUUCUAUGAUUUUAUGAAAGAUCUGGAUUUUUCCCCAUGUAAAUAAUUGCUGAGAGUGAUCUGAGGAGCAAAGCUGACCUCAGUGGUGGGGAAGUCUCCUGUGCUUGAUUCAUUGCAAACAUUGAAUUCAAUGGGAAUUGAGAUGUACCUUGCAGAGCAGGAGCUGAGAUGGAGUGGGAAGUAAAGGUGAGGAUGCAGCAGUGAGGAGGGGCUGAUGGGGCACUGUGUGAGUGCUGGGGGCUCACGUUUCCAGCCUGCACUGUAAAGUUGAUGGGAAGCUCUUAGUCCAACCUCACAAAAACAAACUGGUGUGACCAGCACCCCUGCGUCUGGGAAGCCACGGAUGGGAUCACCAAGGUCACAAAAGGAUGGUGUAGAGUUGGUGCAAAUAAGGCUUUGUGGACAUCAGGUGUUGGAGGAGCAAGGAGACAUCACUGCACCGUGUUGUGGUUCUGUAGGGCCUUAUGGUCUGUGUUUUCCUGUUAGCUGAACAAUCUCAGUGCUCUUGUUUCACAUAGGCAGAAAAUGUAUCCUAAUGCCACCUACCACCUCACUGCCCUUGGGGUUGAGUCAAGUCAAAAGCCUCCCAUAGCCUUUAUGGCUAUUGGGGUUCCUCUCGUCUUACCCAGCCCCAGUCUCAUACCCCAGAUCCUGCCCUAGGAAUGCACUUUUCGCUCCAUGUGCUGGUGGACAGCAGCUUCCCAUGCUUCCAAAAUGAUAGAAAACCACACCAACUGCACAAUUCCUCUGCUCCAAGCUCCUUCUGAUCCCUGGCAGGGCUGACAAAUGGGAAAAUAAUUAUAUUUAGAAGGAUUUUCCGGGCUAGAAGUGUCAGUGAAGCGUAUGGAAAAGGCUGCAGUGAAGAAGGAGAGAGGAGCGGAAAUAAAUAGAUUUAAAAAUAGAAAGGACAGAGGAGAUGAGGCUGGAGGAGAUGCAGAUGCUAACAGAGAGCUGUGAGGACAGUCUAGUUAUUCACAUAGACCCUAUUGCCAUGCGGGUGGCAAUCAGCAAACAGCCCAGGGCAGAUUCAGUCCCCAGUGCCAUCAGUGGCAUGGCUGGUUUGGCCCCCAGGGUUCCCAUGCAUAGCUCUGAACUGCAUGCCAGGAAAUCAUAGAACCAUAGAAUAGCCUGGGUUUGAAAAGGACCACAAUGAUCAUCUGGUUUCAACCCCCUGCUAUUUGUGGGGUCACCAACCAGCAGCCCGGGCUGCCCAGAGCCAUCCCAUAUUUCUUUUUCAGGUUUAGUUUUAAAAGCUUUGGUCCAUGCUGCUAUUCCACAGGAGGACAGGGAGAGGGAGCCCGUCCCCUUCUUUGGCCUUGGGAGAAGCAGUAGGAUCCCAUCCUCUUGCAGAGAGCAAUCUUAGAAUCAUAGAAUCGUGGUAUCAUUAAGGUUGGAAAACCUGGAAUGGGUUCAUUGGCACAGGUUGCCCAGAGAGGUGGUGGUGCCCCAU